UCAAUAUGGGGGAUCACUUAGUCCUUAAAGCGAUGAAAAACAUAAUAAUUUGUGGAAAUUGAUGUGAGUUGUGAAAUCUGUGAGCAUUGUGUUUUUGAAUGAACAUGUCAGUAUGGAUAUUAUUCUGUGCUACAGUUGUUUCAGCAUAUGAGAAGUUGAAUACGUUGUUACUAUUGCUG
RNAcentral lists this ribosomal RNA (179 nucleotides) under Rhinonyssus neglectus. Its description in RNAcentral is "5.8S ribosomal RNA". The stretch from base 2 to 149 matches the Rfam family "5.8S ribosomal RNA". From Rfam's summary of the family: 5.8S ribosomal RNA (5.8S rRNA) is a component of the large subunit of the eukaryotic ribosome. It is transcribed by RNA polymerase I as part of the 45S precursor that also contains 18S and 28S rRNA. Lineage: Eukaryota; Metazoa; Arthropoda; Arachnida; Mesostigmata; Rhinonyssidae. The record is from RNAcentral.